UGAGCAACCUGCCCUUGGCUUUGGGAUAACCCUCGGAAACGGGGGCUAAUACCGAAUGUUCACUGCUGGACGCAUGUUUGGUGGUGGAAAGUUUUUCGGCUGGGGAUGGGCUCGCGGCCUAUCAGCUUGUUGGUGGGGUGAUGGCCUACCAAGGCGACGACGGGUAGCCGGCCUGAGAGGGCGACCUGCCACACUGGGACUGAGACACGGCCCAGACUCCUACGGGAGGCA
Molecule: ribosomal RNA, 231 nt
Filed under: uncultured bacterium
Lineage: Bacteria
Description: partial 16S ribosomal RNA
Rfam family: Bacterial small subunit ribosomal RNA
Source: RNAcentral